UACGGAGGAUCCAAGCGUUAUCCGGAAUCAUUGGGUUUAAAGGGUCCGUAGGCGGUUUGGUAAGUCAGUGGUGAAAGCCCAUCGCUCAACGGUGGAACGGCCAUUGAUACUGCCAGACUUGAAUUAUUAGGAAGUAACUAGAAUAUGUAGUGUAGCGGUGAAAUGCUUAGAGAUUACAUGGAAUACCAAUUGCGAAGGCAGGUUACUACUAAUGGAUUGACGCUGAUGGACGAAAGGCGUGGGUAGCGAACAGG
This 254-nucleotide ribosomal RNA is filed under the name uncultured bacterium. Its description in RNAcentral is "partial 16S ribosomal RNA". It matches the Rfam family "Bacterial small subunit ribosomal RNA", at positions 524 to 776 of the family's 1533-position model. The record is from RNAcentral.